AUAUCCUUAUGCCGCGUCGGUCCCGCGCGAGCGGGUGAAAAGGGAACGCCGUGCGGUCAGGUGCCCAACACCAGGCCAAGUCGGCGGCUGCCCCCGCAACUGUCAGCGGCGAGCCGCGCGCCCAUCCGCCCCGAAAGGGGCGGGGCCACUGGGGAAACCCGGGAAGGCAGGGCGUGCGGCAAGGACCCGCGAGCCAGGAGACCUGCCGGCGCGGCAACCCCUUU
Molecule: non-coding RNA, 224 nt
Filed under: Muricoccus roseus
Lineage: Bacteria; Pseudomonadati; Pseudomonadota; Alphaproteobacteria; Acetobacterales; Roseomonadaceae
Source: RNAcentral